RNAcentral lists this ribosomal RNA (496 nucleotides) under uncultured bacterium. RNAcentral describes it as "partial 16S ribosomal RNA". It matches the Rfam family "Bacterial small subunit ribosomal RNA", at positions 29 to 507 of the family's 1533-position model. The record is from RNAcentral.
AUGAACGCUGGCGGCGUGCCUAAUACAUGCAAGUCGCGCGAACAGACGAGGAGCUUGCUCCUCUGACGUUAGCGGCGGACGGGUGAGUAACACGUGGAUAACCUACCUAUAAGACUGGGAUAACUUCGGGAAACCGGAGCUAAUACCGGAUAAUAUAUUGAACCGCAUGGUUCAAUAGUGAAAGACGGUUUUGCUGUCACUUAUAGAUGGAUCCGCGCCGCAUUAGCUAGUUGGUAAGGUAUCGGCUUACCAAGGCAACGAUGCGUAGCCGACCUGAGAGGGUGAUCGGCCACACUGGAACUGAGACACGGUCCAGACUCCUACGGGAGGCAGCAGUAGGGAAUCUUCCGCAAUGGGCGAAGGCCUGACGGAACAACGCCGCGUGAGUGAUGAAGGUCUUCGGAUCGUAAAACUCUGUUAUUAGGGAAGAACAAAUGUGUAAGUAACUAUGCACGUCUUGACGGUACCUAAUCAGAAAGCCACGGCUAACUACGUG